GUGCCAGCAGCCGCGGUAAUACCGGCAGCCCGAGUGAUGGCCGAUCUUAUUGGGCCUAAAGCGUCCGUAGCUGGCCGCGCAAGUCCAUCGGAAAAUCCACCCGCCCAACGGGUGGGCGUCCGGUGGAAACUGCGUGGCUUGGGACCGGAAGGCUCAGAGAGUACGUCCGGGGUAGGAGUGAAAUCCCGUAAUCCCGGACGGACUACCGAUGGCGAAAGCACUCUGAGAAGACGGCUUCGACAGUGAGGGACGAAAGCUCGGGUCUCAAACCGGAUUAGAUACCCGGGUAGUCC
RNAcentral lists this ribosomal RNA (293 nucleotides) under uncultured bacterium. Its description in RNAcentral is "partial 16S ribosomal RNA". It matches the Rfam family "Archaeal small subunit ribosomal RNA", at positions 455 to 747 of the family's 1478-position model. The record is from RNAcentral.